RNAcentral lists this unclassified non-coding RNA (599 nucleotides) under Penicillium atramentosum. Its description in RNAcentral is "sequence contains 18S rRNA gene, ITS1, 5.8S rRNA gene, ITS2, 28S rRNA gene". The stretch from base 221 to 374 matches the Rfam family "5.8S ribosomal RNA". The record is from RNAcentral. Lineage: Eukaryota; Fungi; Ascomycota; Eurotiomycetes; Eurotiales; Aspergillaceae.
AGUCGUAACAAGGUUUCCGUAGGUGAACCUGCGGAAGGAUCAUUACUGAGUGAGGGCCCUCUGGGUCCAACCUCCCACCCGUGUUUAUUGUACCUUGUUGCUUCGGCGGGCCCGCCUUUAUGGCCGCCGGGGGGCUUACGCUCCCGGGCCCGCGCCCGCCGAAGACACCCUCGAACUCUGUCUGAAGAUUGUAGUCUGAGUGAAAAUAUAAAUUAUUUAAAACUUUCAACAACGGAUCUCUUGGUUCCGGCAUCGAUGAAGAACGCAGCGAAAUGCGAUACGUAAUGUGAAUUGCAGAAUUCAGUGAAUCAUCGAGUCUUUGAACGCACAUUGCGCCCCCUGGUAUUCCGGGGGGCAUGCCUGUCCGAGCGUCAUUGCUGCCCUCAAGCACGGCUUGUGUGUUGGGCCCCGUCCUCCGAUCCCGGGGGACGGGCCCGAAAGGCAGCGGCGGCACCGCGUCCGGUCCUCGAGCGUAUGGGGCUUUGUCACCCGCUCUGUAGGCCCGGCCGGCGCUUGCCGAUCAACCAAAAUUUUUUCCAGGUUGACCUCGGAUCAGGUAGGGAUACCCGCUGAACUUAAGCAUAUCAAUAAGCGGAGGA